GAUCCCUUUCCCAGAGUGCUCUGCGCUGUGAAGAAGCGGCUCCCGGGGACUGGGGGCAUUUUGUGUUGGCUGAAGCCGGAGUAACAAGAUGGCGGCGUCGGCGGAGUGACAGGGGUCCCUUCGGCCCGGAGCCGGCGGCACUGGUCGCAGCGGUAUCGCCAGCCUAAUUUCACCGCGCCUCUUUUCCAGCCAGCGACGUCGCCGCGAAAGCGAGGCAGCGGCAGCCGCCCAGAAACAAGUGGCCCAGCCUCGUAACCGCGAGAACUGCCUCACAAUCGGCGGCCUGGCAGAAAGAAACCUGACUGAGCGGCGGUGAUCGGGUCCCCGUUGGCCGAUUCUGGGCCCUAUAACGCCGGGAAAAGCCUCCGUUUCCGCUUCCUGCCGCCCUCCUCCGCAGCCUUGCCCCGUGGACGAGCCUCCGAGGCCUCCGUCGUCCCCUCUGAGGUGUCGGGGCUUUGCCCCAGCCUCCAUCUUCGUUUCUCAGGAUGGCGAGCAGCAGCGGCUCCAAGGCCGAAUUCAUUGUCGGAGGGAAAUACAAACUGGUACGGAAGAUCGGGUCUGGCUCCUUCGGGGACAUUUAUCUGGCCAUCAACAUCACCAACGGCGAGGAAGUGGCAGUGAAGCUAGAGUCGCAGAAGGCCAGGCAUCCCCAGUUGCUGUACGAGAGCAAACUCUAUAAGAUUCUUCAAGGUGGGGUUGGCAUCCCCCACAUACGGUGGUAUGGACAGGAAAAAGACUAUAAUGUACUAGUCAUGGAUCUUCUGGGACCCAGCCUCGAAGACCUCUUCAAUUUCUGUUCAAGAAGGUUCACAAUGAAAACUGUACUUAUGUUGGCUGACCAGAUGAUCAGUAGAAUUGAAUAUGUGCAUACGAAGAAUUUUAUACACAGAGACAUUAAGCCAGAUAACUUCCUAAUGGGUAUUGGUCGUCACUGUAAUAAGUGUUUAGAAUCUCCAGUGGGGAAGAGGAAAAGAAGCAUGACUGUUAGUACUUCUCAGGACCCAUCUUUCUCAGGAUUAAACCAGUUAUUCCUUAUUGAUUUUGGUUUGGCCAAAAAGUACAGAGACAACAGAACAAGGCAACACAUACCAUAUAGAGAAGAUAAAAACCUCACUGGCACUGCCCGAUAUGCUAGCAUCAAUGCACAUCUUGGUAUUGAACAGAGCCGCCGAGAUGACAUGGAGUCAUUAGGAUAUGUUUUGAUGUAUUUUAAUAGAACCAGCCUGCCGUGGCAAGGACUAAAGGCUGCAACAAAGAAACAAAAAUACGAGAAGAUUAGCGAAAAGAAGAUGUCCACUCCUGUUGAAGUUUUAUGUAAGGGGUUUCCUGCGGAGUUUGCCAUGUACUUAAACUAUUGUCGUGGGCUGCGCUUUGAGGAAGCCCCGGAUUACAUGUAUCUGAGGCAGCUAUUCCGCAUCCUUUUCAGGACCCUGAACCACCAAUAUGACUACACAUUUGAUUGGACAAUGUUAAAGCAGAAAGCAGCACAGCAGGCAGCAUCUUCCAGUGGGCAGGGUCAGCAGGCCCAAACCCCCACAGGCAAGCAAACUGACAAAACCAAGAGUAACAUGAAAGGUCCUAAAGAUGAGAAGUUGGAUCCACUGAGUUAGUGUGUUUCCUUGAAAAAAAAAAAGGUUGCAAUUAAACUUAAGUUAAAUCCUUAUUUUGUAUUGUAGCUACUUUUUAUAAAAGUUUCUAAGCAUGAAUUGUGGAACAGAUGAAGCAGAGCAGAUGAUCGGAGCAGCAUUUGUUUCUCCCCAAAUCUAGAAAUUUUAGUUCAUAUGUACACUAGCCAGUGGUUGUGGACAACCAUUUACUUGGUGUAAAGAACUUAAUUUCAUUAUAAACUGGCUCUGGGCAGCACUGGUGAUGCUGUAUCCUGAGUUGUAGCCGCUGUAAUUGUGAAUAUUAACUGAGGUAGUGAAACAUGGUGUCCGGUUUUCUAUUGCAUUUUUUCAAGUGGAAAAGUUAACUAAAUGGUUGACACACAAAAAUUGGUGGAGAAAUUGUGCAUAUGCCAAUUUUUUGUUAAGAUCCUUUACUUUGAACUAUACUGCUUUGAAAUCUCAUUUCAGAAGAAUGGCAUGAACAGUCUUCAGCCGCAGUUGUGAUGAUUGUAAAUUCUCACAAUUGUGCAUUCUUAGGGUUUUUUCCACCCCUGGGGUUUGCAAGUUGUUCACUUAAAACAUUCUUAAAAUGGUUGGCUUCUUGUUUGCAAGCCAGCUGAUAUGGUAGCAACCAAAGAUUCCAGUGUUUGAGCGUACGAAAGACUCUGCCUGCUUACCUGUGCUAGAAAUAACAGCAUCUAAAGUGAAGACUUAAGAAAAACUUAGUGACUACUAGAUAAUCCUUAGGACUCUGCAUUAACUCUAUAAUGUUCUUGGUAUUAAAAAAAAAAGCAUAUUUGUCACAGAAAUUUAGUUAACAUCUUACAACUGAACAUGUAUGUAUGUUGCUUAGAUAAAUGUAAUCACUGUAAACAUCUAUACAAUCUGGGAUUUUGUUUUUAUUUUGAAAUGGGAGCUUUUUUUUUUUGUUUACAAGUUCAUUAAAAACUAAAAACUGUUUCUGUAAGGAAAUGAGAUUUUUUUUAAACAACAAAAUGCCUUGCUGACUCACUAUGAAAUAAAAAUCUCCCCAGUUUUUUGAUAGACUACUUCAAGCCAUUUGUUACAUGAUAUUCCUUGAAAAGUUAAUUUAGAUUUAAUGUAUGACUUCCUCAGAUUUUUUUUUUUUUUUAAUUUUUAAAAUGUCUGGUUUUUUUCCUCCCCUGAAGGGAAAAGGCAUUCUUUCCUUUUUUUUCUUUUUUAAUGACUUGCAGGCACAAUACCUGGUACUGCAACUGCCAGAACCUGGUACUGUAACUCCUGCUGCAGCUGACUAACAGCUGGACUGAUUUUGAAUAAGAAUGAAAGCAUUAAAGGGUUUGACUACAAGAUGUUUUUUCUUUAAAAUACUUGUGAAGUGGCUCUAAGCAGUUGACUCUUACCCUUGGAGAGCUUCACACUGUGUGAGGUCCAAGUGAGUGCUGACCCUCCUCGCCAGCCUGAGCCCCCCACCCGCUUCUCUCUGUUAUCAUCUGUGUGCGCUUCCCUCAGUCUUACUUGCGCGCUCUUUUCUCUGAAUCAAGAGAAAGGAAAAUGUAUUGAUGAUAAUUCUUUGAACAGUGUAAUUUAUUCAUUUAUAGCACAUCAGGAUAAAUUAAAAGAACUUUUGUCUGAAAAUGCUGCCGGGAGCCUAUUCUGUAAAUGUAGGUAUUUUGUAAAAUCUGGAAACUGUAAAUUGACAUGUGUUUGGUCAGAUUGUGUCAGGCUUAAAUUUUUUUUAUUUUAUUUUUUCAUUCAAAACUGUUUUAGCAAUAAUUAAUUCCAUGGUUACCACAUUCUGCCGUUAAGGGAAAUGUUAGUACGGACCUUAAUGCUGAAGAAAUCUUAAUAAGUCUGAAUUUUGGGGGUAGGCAGCUUCUUUGUUUCUUUUCUAACCAUCCUUGUCAGUUAAGGUGUUUGUUUCUUGACUAAUAAACCCUUUGAUACUUUUAGCCAGAAAUCAGUCUCAUAAAGCUAUUUUUGAGUAUAGUUUGUGUAAAAUAAAUUUGUUUAGCUUUGGUAACUUUUCCAAGCUGAACUCCCUCUAGCAAGAUAUUUUUCAGUGCUUUCAUUUACUAUGCACUUAGACUAUGCACUUUUUCUGAGAUAUUUUUGUAACACUUUUUUGUAUUUUUGCCAUUUGAAAAGGUUGUGGUGUAGUUGGUCUGUAAUUAAGUUGCAGAUUUAAAACUGCUGUUAGCUUUGUAAAUCAAAAUAUAGGUAUCUCUUUGUCCUGGUAUAUUGUCAUUCCAUCUGCAGCUGGAGCUGGAAUCCCAUUGAUCUUCUAGCUACCAUUCAUUUUCUUCACAGUUCACAAAAGAAGAAUGUGAAAUUCAGUGAAUGCUGUUACUAAUCCUGUCGGGAAAUGAAUCUCAUUUCACCAAAAUUAAGUUAUGUUUUUCCACUAAAAUGAUGAUACAAGUUGAAGACACAUCAUUCUGAAAUUGGAAGACCUCACCACUUAAGGCUCCACAGUGGCUUACUCAGCUGAACUCUAGGUUACUACUUUACUUUGUUCACCCAAUGGGGGGUGCAGUUUUUUUAAAUGUUGGGAGAUGGCCAUUCUAACUACUGUUGAAUGUCUCUGUUUUGGGAAGGUAUAACAAGAAAAUAAAAAAGAAUAUAUAUGAAGGGAGAGACUGGUUAUCUCCUCCCAUAUGGUUGUGCUUAUGCUCGUAUAGCCUAUAAAUGGAUAUUUGGAGGUUUGCUUUUCCUAUUUUUAAGAGAUUUUCAUAUUUCUGAUAGUCCUUGCAUUGCCAGUAAUUGUAAAUGCUAAAUGUUUCAAGCAGAUAAUACUAUAAUAAUAGAAAGCUUAGAUCUGUUAUACUAAAAACAUGAAACACAAGGACUUUAGAACCCAAGCCAAUGAGCUCAUGUUCCCUCAAAUUUGCUGAAAUACCAAGAACAGUUUGUUGUAAGUCAUUACUAGAAUGAGCCAAGGAUAAUCUGAGAUGGACUGGCCUACUCACCAGAACUGUGUGGUUUUCUAAUGUGGGUGGCAGGUGCCCAUGCAAUUGAGCCAGCACCUGUAGUCUCCCAGGGUACACGUUAGCAGGAAGCUUGGGUCAGAGGCUGAGCUGGGACUCAAACCCAGGCAUUCCUAUAUAAGAUGUGGGUGUGCCAAGUGGCAUUUUAACUGCUAUGCCAAAUGCAUGUCAUUUGAAAAAUAACACUUUCAAAACAUCAAAAGAUGGCAGAAUGCUAGCUAUAGAUUGAUCUAAUCUGGUGACAGUCUGUUUGAACCAUACAUUGGAGUAAAAUGAUGACUUUGCUGAAAUGUCUGGUUAGACUGGUUUUUAGGACAUACUUAGAAGUAAUGAGACUGCUGAGCAACAGUGUAGCUGUAAAAGUAACUCACCUAGAAUCUAUGACUACUAAUGGGUCUUAGAGGAAUGUCUGGGCUGUGACAGGGCAAUACAGGAACCAGGAACAUCUUCUUGUCCCAGGAUGGAAGUCUCAAAAAAUGGUAGGUACAUGUCAGAAACACAAGAUCCUCACAACAGUCAAACAGCUAUGGUUACUCCUGUCACAUACAAGCUAUGUAUUAAGAAAAACAAACAAACUGGAACUACCCUAUAGGAGGCAUCUUGGUAAAUUUUGCAGAACCAGGACCUAAACCUGAUGGCCUUAAGCUGUUACAUGGUUAAAGCAUUGGUGCUUUAAACCCAGAGAUUGGUAAUACCAGCUAUCAUUGAGUACCUUACAUACGUUGAUUUGCCUAGUCCUCAGAUUGUCAUGUUUUUUAUGAGGAUACCAUAGAACAAGGGCCAGGUUGUAUCCCCUUAGAUUAGGGGUUUUUGUUUUUCUUUAAGUUUUGUUUAUUUGAAAGGCAGAGUUAAGAGAGGGCUGCUGUCCACUUUGUUCCCCAGAUGACCUCAGUGGUCAAAGCUGGACCAGGCUGAAGCCAGGAGCAAAUCUGGGUCUCCCAUGUGCAUGCAGUAGCCCAAGUACUUGGGCUGUCUUCCACUGCUUGCCCAGGCACAUGAGCAGAGUGCUGGAUCAGUAGGGCAGCUGGAAUUCAACUGGCAAUCAAGUGGGAUGUCAGCAUUACAGAAGCCGUUUAACUUGCUGCACUGUAACGCCAACCCCAGUUCCCUUCGAUUUUCUUUUUGAGAGGUGGACUUAGAAAAGUCUUCUAUCCACUGCUUCAUUCCCCAGGUGGCCCAAACAGCCUGAUCAGAAACUUCUUCUAGGUCUCCUGUGAGAGUGCAGGGGCCCAAGCGCUUAGGCCAUCUUCUGCUUUCUCAGGCCAUAUCAGAGCUGGGUCACGAACCAGUGCCCAUGUGGGAUGCUGGUGCUGCGGGCAAGGGCUUGGCCUACAAUGCCACAGCACUGGCCCCUAGAUUUUUAAAUAGGAUCUUGGCUCACCUUAUGUUUAGACAAUUCAUAUUAGCUAUGUAUCCUGUAUCAAAUGUAAGUGUACCUGCUUAUCAAAUAGAGGGUCUGCCCUGGUGAAGGUAAAGGCCAUUUAAAAAGUGAUCUGUAGCCUCCCUGUACCCACACCCUGAAAGUAAAGUGAAUGUGAAGAGGCGUAAGUCUAAAAUUUUCAGGCAACUUGGUUUACAACAUUUUACAGUUUGAUAUGUACCUGAUGAGAGUAUAGGUUUUCCUAAUGUUUAGUUUGCUUGUGAAAUUUAGCUAUUUAUUUAGUAAGUGAUAUGAACUGGCUUAAAUGGAGUAAGUGUGCUUUUUUUAAUUGCUUAGAAAUAUGUUAAUCCAUAGAUUGUGAGUUUUCUUUUUGGUAUUAGGUUUAUGUGAAAGUUUGGGAGAUAUUUCAAUAGUGAUUUUCUAAUCUAGUCAUGAAUUACCGUAUUCACUUAAUGACAGCUGAGUCUGAUGCGCAGAGGGAUGCUAUGUGAUACAGUUGGGGAUUAAGGAGAGAGAUUAUGAGUGACAGUACAAGGUGGGGGCUUUAGGAGUCAAAGGAGAGUGACAGUAUAUUUUGUGUUGACGGUGAAGGUAAUUGUGUAUGGUAAGGUUGUGCUGGUCCUUUGGCUGUCAGCAAGCUUGCCAGUCCUUAAACUCCCUUUGCCUGUCAUGCAUCCUUUUAAAAAAAAAAAAGUACUCACCCAUAAAAGAUGUCGGGGUCCAGAGGAGAGGGGAACAAGGCAGGCUUUUUCAUUUGCCCAAUAAACUGGUCAUUUCUGUGGCUUAAUAAUAAACCCAUAUUUAGAACCAAAUUCUAGAGAUCAUUUUCUUCAACCUCUUAGUGAUCAGUUGAUGAAACCCAAAACCUUCAGUUUUCCAAUCAAGACUAGAAUGCAGGCCAGCUAGUAUUUUCCAUACUUUAAUUCUUGGUGGUGUCAUUAAGCCAGGGUAAUUUCUCUAUAUAUUGCAUUUAUCAGUCACCUUUUACCUUGUUGUGACCAAUAUGUCUUGUGUUGGUAAGCAAAAAGUAAAAUGUCAGUUUAGGUAAGCAAAAAGUAAAAUGUCAGUUUAGAUGCUGAACAGUGUGAAAAAUUUUAAAAUCAGAGGUUUUUUUUUAAUCUUAAAAUCAUUGACAAAAUCAAUUAGUAUUGUGUAGAUAAGAUACACUUUUUUUUGGAAAGGGAGAGUGAGAGGAGAAGUAUCCACUGGUGUCACUUCCCAAAUGGCUUCAACAGCAAGGGCUGGGCCAGGCAGAAGCCAGGAACUCAGAACUCCAUCCAGGUCUCCCACCUAAGUGGCUCUUCCACUGCUUUCUCAGACACUUCAGUGGGGACUGCGCUUUGAUAGGGGUGAUGGAACCUAUCCAUUUCUAGUGAUCAGGAGUGGGAUGCAUUCUGUUACAUAAAGCCAUAUUUGGUCAAAUUGUGAGUAGUGGUCGUUUUAAAUAUGCUCUUAAUGCAUGUCCCUGUACCCGGGUUUAAAUGAAUGGUUCUAAUAUAGCAGUGUACUCACUGAAAGGGUUUUCUUAGCAGUGGAGCUACAACCUGUCAUUUAUGGAGUAGAAUGUGUUGGCUAGGAAGAUGAAGCUUUUUGUCAGCAUUACCAUAUUAAGUGCAAUGUUACUGAUUGAGAGAAGGAAAAUAGUGUGAAUAACUGUUGGAAACAACUGUGGAUUUCAGGCAGCCAGCCAUUGGUUCUGUGUGCCAGUGGACAGUGGCACAAAUGUUGGUGAUAAAGUGCUGUGUUGAUAAGCUCUUAACAGUUGCUAAGUAAAUAUUUUUUGUUAAUUGCAAAACUGGUUUGCACUCUUAACAUGUGACUCCAUUAAGAAUGUAAUGUUUUAGUGAUGUAGACAGUGAGCUAAAAUACACCUCUAGGUUUGUGUGUGUGUGUGCAUGCCUGCACGUACACACACGCAUACCAUCACUAGAAAAGCGAAAGCAAGUCCUUCGGACAGGUUUCAUUAUCAGUGGCCACCCUGCCCCCCUGUGAAAUGGUGAAGAACAUGUAAGCGAUUGCUUGAUCUUGAAUGUUGUGUGAUGGUAAUGCUACACAACAGUAACAGGGAUUUAUGGAGUAUAUUAGAAAGUAGGGAUAGUGGAACAAAUGAAGACCAGAGAAAGUAAUUUCCAUCUGGAAAAAUUAAUGAAGACUGUCCUCACCUUGAACAAACUACUCUUGGAGUGAUGGGAGCAAAACGCUCACAUGAGUAAUUUUAGCCAGUAAUUUCAGCCAUUGCUUUAGCAAAGCAAACAAUGUCAUGGGGGAAAGUGCUAGAGGUUCAUGUGUGUUAGAGAAUGAGUUUGCCUCAGUCACAGGUAAUAGGAAAAAUUUGACCAAAAGCUGAAAUAAAAGAGUAACUUAAAAAAGAAGAGUGAAAGUCUCAUCCAGUGUUGUCCCUACCUAAUGAUGUAGUUUUAUUGGUCUUCAGAUACUGGCAUUACUGUUGUGGAGAUUAGGGAAUGAAAAAGAUUAUAGGGGGCUGGCGCCGUGGCUCACUUGGUUAAUCCUCUGCCUACAGCGCCGGCAUCCCAUAUGGGCACCAGGUUCUAGUCCCAGUUGCUCCUCUUCCAGUCCAGCUCUGCUCUGGCCACGGAGGGCAAGGGAAGAUGGCCCAAGUGCUUGGGCCCCUGUACCCGCAUGGGAGACCAGGAGGAAGCACCUGGCUCCUGGCUUCGGAUAGGCACAGUGCUGGCUGUAGCGGUCACUUGGGGGCAUUAUUCAGGGCAAUUCUCUGAUCACUAGUAGGGACUCACUUCAUCCCCCAGCCCCAAGACCAACCCUUUUAAAUGUUUGGGAUUUUAGGGCUGAUAAAUUUGUCCGUAUGGAGUAAAUAUAUUUUAAUGUUUUAAGGUGUCACUGUCUUGUCUUCCAUUUCUAUCCUUAGAGAGAAACAUGCUAUUUUUAUAACUGGGUACCAGGAAGGAAAAUUCCAUGCAUUAAUAUUAUUUCUAGUGAUUGUCAGAACCUUUUAUAAAGCCACAUCCAAAUGUGCAUUGUCACCUAGAAGGAUAUGAAGCCUAGUAGGAGACUUGAUGCUUGCAAAAUCUGCAGAUACCCUACCCUUUGCUUUUUGUCUCCAGAUGCUAUGUAUGGAGUGGUGACAGGCUGAGAGGGGUAAACAAAGUAGUGAUGCAUGGGAGGUAAACAUAUCAUUGACUCUUGGAGCUCUGAUCCUCCCUUGGAAUAUCUUGUUCAAGGUCGCAGAGUUGGUUAGUGACAGAGCUGGGAAAGAACCCAGCAGAUCCCACUUCUCCACUGAACUGCUACUAUAGGCACAGAGCAGUGGUGUUUUGUUUGUUUUGUUUUAGAUUAUUUGAAAGGACAGUGUCAGUAUCAGGACAAGAUAAAUCAUCCUCUGGGUCACUCCCCAUGGGGCCCUAACAGCAAGGUCUAGACUAGGCCAAAGCCAGGAGCUGAGUUCCAUUGGAGUCUCCCUGUGAGUGACAGGGACCCAAGCACUACAGCCAUCCUCCACUCCUGUCACAGGCACAUGAGCAGGAACCUGGACCAGCACUCCAGUAUGGGAUACCAGUGUUCUAAGUGGCAUUUUAACCCACAGCACCAUACUGCCAGUCCCAGUGACUCUGAAUUCGACUCCAGGAUCUGCAACUUCUGGAAAUUUGUUAGUUCAAAUUCUAGUGUCUGCUCCAAACCUACCCCUGGGAGCUCGACAGAUGGAGUGCAGCACCUCUGUUUCAAACCCCACCACCACCACCACCCCCAGCAUUGUAGCUGAUCCUGAUCCACGAUGAAGUUUGAGAACCACUGACAAGGAUGAAACGAAGUAGGCAGCAGAAGGAACUGAGGAAGGACCUGAAGCAUGACCUGUGAUUCAUUUAACUUUCCUUAUCUAUGGAAGAAAUGAUCACAAAUUCUCCCUGCUGGUGGCUGUGCGGGUGGAAUGAAGUCAAGCAGUGUCUUGGUUCACAGAAGCUCUGCCCCCUCUAUUUCAUGAAAUGUUGGUAGCUGGAAAUUAGCUGAGGUGAGAACUUGGAAAACUCAAGUCCAGGCCUUCUAACCAUAGCUGGUUCACCAGCAUGCCACUGAUUGCACCAUGCAGUGCAUCUACUUUGGUUUUUCCUUACUUUGUAGCUACCAGGAUCUGAGCUAAAAUUACUUAAACAUUUGAUCCUAGAAUUCCCAUUACUUGUGACUUAUUUUGUUAUUGUUAUUUGAAAUAAUUAGGGAGUGAGAACCUCUAUCCCCUUGUUCACUCCUCAAAUAGCCACAACAACCAAACCUGGACCAGAGGAAACCAAGAGUUUCUUCCAGGUGUCCCACAUGAGUGCAGGGGCCCAAGAACAUUGGCCAUCCUCCACUGCUUUCUCAGGUGCGUUAGCAGGGAGCUGGAUCAGAAGUGGAGCAGCCAGGACUCAAAUUGGUACCCAUAUGGGUUGCGUGCAUCGCCGGUGGUGGCUUUAUCCACUAUGCCACAACACCAGCCCCUGCUUGUAAUUUCUAAUGAGCAUAUUAGAUUAGGGGAGGAUUGUUGAGUUAAACAUUUUAUAUAUAUAUAUAUAUUUCAUAGGCAGAGAGUUGUAGAGAGGCAGAGAGAGCGGUCCUCCAUCUGCUGGUUCACUCCCCAAAUGGCUGCAGUGGCUGGAGAUGGGCCGAUCCAAAGGUAGGAGCCAGGAGCUGCUUCUGGGUCUCCCACGUGAGUGCAGGGACCCAAGGACUUGGGCCAUCCUCUACUGCCUUUCUAGGCCACAGCAGAGAGCUGCAUCGGAGGAGAAGCAGCUGGGACUUGAAACGGUGCCCAUAAGGGAUGUAGGUAUGCUACUGUAGGUAGCAGCUUUACCUGCUUCGCCACAGCAGCAGCCCUGUGAGUUCUACCUAUAACAGAAACUCACUUUCCAUCAAAAUCACAUGUGCGUGAGUCCUGUGAAGCCCCAUGUUCCAAAUAACUUGGAGGUGUGGGGUUGACUUUACAGAGGUGUUGGUGGAGACUUGGAGACUCAAGAAUGGAGAGUCUUAACAAAGGAGCGCCAACCAGGAAGUCAGCAGAAGUCAGGGAAGCUGUGUGUUAGUAAACAUUGCACAAUACAUUUCUGUCUAAUGUGAGCUAAGCAGCCCAUCCUGCUUCCCGUCUUAAAACUACUGGGGGCCAGCACUGUCAUAGUGGUUAAAGCUGCUGCCUGCAGUGCCGGCAUCCCAUAUGGGCGCCGGUUCAAGUCCAGGCUGCUCCACUUCCAAUCCGGAUCUCUGCUGUGGCCUGGGAAAGAAGUAGAAGAUGGCCCAAGUCCUCAGGCCCCUGCACCCACAUAGGAGACCCGGAGGAAGCUCCUGGCUCUUCUGAUCGGUGCAGCUGCAGCCAUUGCAGCCAAUUGGGGAGUGAACCAGCAGAUGGAAGACCUCUUUCCAUUUCUCUGCCUCUCUGAAACUCUGCCUUUCAAAUAAAUAAAUCUUAAAAAAAAAAAAAAAA
This is a non-coding RNA of Oryctolagus cuniculus (rabbit), 11379 nucleotides long. The record is from RefSeq and is a predicted model, not a curated record. Lineage: Eukaryota; Metazoa; Chordata; Mammalia; Lagomorpha; Leporidae.